This 307-nucleotide unclassified non-coding RNA is filed under the name fungal sp. RNAcentral describes it as "partial internal transcribed spacer region". The stretch from base 1 to 46 matches the Rfam family "Eukaryotic small subunit ribosomal RNA", at positions 1786 to 1831 of the family's 1831-position model. The record is from RNAcentral. Lineage: Eukaryota; Fungi.
AAGUCGUAACAAGGUUUCCGUAGGUGAACCUGCGGAAGGAUCAUUAUCACGUAUCCACGUAUAAACCAUUGCGAACUGUGUCUACCUUUGGGGGGAACUGUGUGAUGCACUGUUGUUUUGUGAUUUAAAACAGUCUCACAUGCUCUACUGUUCUCUCUAAAGUGUAUUUUUUUUUAAAAAUCACUUUCAUUAACCCUUGAAACCCUUCUUCUUUUAAAACUUUGAACUAAUUCAUUUCUUACUCUUCGGGAAGAAAUAUUUUUACGAAACUAAAGAACAACUCUUAGCAAUGGAUAUCUUGGUUCUC